UCACAGGCAGAGUUUGUUUCUGAGAGCUGUCUCUGUUGUUGAAAGGGUAAGUGGUGGGCUUUCGAUCCAAGAAUGAGAACAGCAUAGUUAUUCCCACAUCAGUCUGGAAAUAACUGAUCAGCCUUUGCAGAUGGAUCUGGGUUCUCUUGCCGCAUGAUAUAAGCAUUACAGCAUUAAAGUAUUUUAGAGAACAGCAACGUGGACUGCAAAUGGGCUUGCCUCAGGUUCAAAUUCCCAACAUAAUUCUGCCUGUUCUUCAGUAUGAGACUUCCCCUAAGAAUAAAACAGAUGUUCUGCAGCAGCUGUCAAGAAUACAGCAAAAGCAGUCAUGCAUGCCUUCUUUACGCCACUGUAGUAUGCACUUACAAUGCGUGGAACGGAGCAGCAGAGACGGAAAAAGGGCCAUCAAAUCAAUGCUCAAUAGUAUAAACUAUUGAAAAGGAACUAGCCACUUUACCUCCCAUGGGAAAAAGAGUAUGUGAGCAGUGUAAACCUUCCUGCCUCAGUAUGAAACUCCACUUAAGCCAUUGGAGGCUGUUGACAUGUCAAGAAUAACAAACGCCAACCUUCGGGUUUAGGUAAGCGAGUUUCACAGAAGGACUGAUUCAUAUAAAGAUCAAUUUUGGUUAAUAAUUAGCAAUAAACACAAAAGGACGGACUAGCCAGUGUGUGGGCUUUUAGAGUAAAAACAAUAAUCUCUUCAUGUAGUUUAAUUCCAUUGCUUAUACACUGACUAGCUGAAUCUCUUACAUCUCUGUGCAUUUCUGGUUGGGCGAAUGAUGAAAAAGAAGCCGCUCAGAAUCUUCACCUACUUAUAAUACCAAGCAUAUGCUGCUGUAGCUAACAACUGAGUAUGAUGGCCAAGCAUGAAGUCUUGUCUUGUAUCCAAACUCUGUCCAAAUAUUAGCUCCCUGAUUAUUAUAAGGACGUAAUUUGCCCAGAAAGGAGGAUUGGCUUCCCCAUUUUGGAAUAAAAUACAUGUAUUAAAGGAAGAGGGAAGCGGCUUGGUUCGCUUUGGUUCUUCUUCCUGGGUUCCAUGUAUCUACUAUCAUGGAUGUUGGGACCUUCCUGAGAGCACACGCUGCCAUUUGUGCUGUGCUGUCACACCAGCUCCAGCCUCCCUGCUGCUGUGUCCUAGCUCCUUAGGAGCAAGGUGGACCAGCUCUUUGAAGACCUGUCGCAGAGGGGAAGGCAUUUCUCAAGGAAACAUAUACUUACACUUUCUGGAAAGCACCAGUGGGUGCUGCAAAGGACCAUACUGGCCUCACCAUUUCUUCCAGACCACUGCUUCCUUGCAUCUAAUCUGUCAACUGAGCUGGGAUACUGCUGAGACUGUGUCUUAUACAGUCAGAAGCAUGGUAGCCUUCGGAAGAAAAUAUUCAGCCCUGGAAGAUCUCCACUGUACACAAAGCUGAAAGGUCUAGUCCUAUUCUGAAUAUGGACUUCAGGAUUUAGCCAAUGCUUAAUGUUCAACAAUUAGUGGACCAUAUAAACAGCAUCCCCCUGACCCACCCCCUCCCCCACAUUCACAGAGUAAUGACACCAGUUAAUACUAGCAUUAGCUGUGGCUAAUGCAUGCAUAUUCCAAAUGAUCAGCAUCACAACAAUUAACCUGAAGGUUGUUCCAUGACAGAUCAUUUCAAACAAUGUUACUGUGUCACACCAGGGAUGAACUGCAGCCUUCAUAGAAAAGAAAGUAGAAAGGUCUGCAAUUUUCUGUUAGUAGCUUUGGCCCAACAUUGAUAAGCUUAAAGCAACUUAAGCAAUUAGUCGAGAGACAAAGCUAAAACAAACAAGCAAACAGCCUCCUCUACCACAAAAAAAAAAAAAAAAGCUUGAGCCCAAGAAUGAUUUUAGGUCAGAUUUUCACUGAAAGUGCCAACUGACAAAUUGCACUGAUUCAAUAAGACAUUCUGUGAUUGCAAGAAUGAAAAAAAAGUUUUCCUAUUAAUGCUGUUGUAUCCUAGGAUGGGAUAGAGAGGACGCCAUAGAUAGAUAAACAAUGGAAUUAGGGAGUUUACCUAUAAAGCAGAGAAGCUCUUCAAAGAGAUAUGGAUCUACAUUGAUUCAAGCAUAGGCCCUUGAUCGUGUUCAAGUCUUCCACCUAAAGCGUUUGCACAAAAGGGCUUAUGCAGACUAGAUGCUUAGAUCUGAGAAGGUCCUGGGAGACCAGUGAAAUUUGACCAUGUACAGCAUGGACAUCCUCCACACAACUUCCAGCAACAUGGGGGUGCAGAAGUCACCCAGGACUGCGCUGUGAUGUCUGCUCGCAGAUCUGGGCUCCUGUAGCACCCAGUGAAGGCAUAGCCUAUUGAAGCCCAGUGAAGGCUCAGCCUCACUGUGUCAUUUCAGUGACUGAGUCUAGGAGACAAAGAAAAGAUUUGAUCCUUCUCCUCCCCAAAUUAACUUCAGGUACUACAGGGACUUAUUUUUAUGACACAUGAUUUAUAUAUUAGCGCUGAAGGCACAGCAGAAAGUGACUGACCAUUUCUACCUAGAUCCAAGUGUUAUGCUGUUUGAACCCUUGGUGUCCCAUACACAGAAAUAAAAUGCUCUGUAGCUCUAUCUUUUACUGCAUCACCAAGCUGCCAUGCCAGAGGAGUUCAACCAGCAAGAAGAAUCUCCUUACCCUUUCCCAAACCCUUAAAAAAAGACAAGCUCUUUUACCUGUUUCGAUGUGCUGCAGAAACUCUUGUGCUGUCACCCUCUCGUGAGGCUGCAGGAUGGGCUUGUACAGCUGCCUGCCUUUAGAGGUGUU
Long non-coding RNA from Struthio camelus australis, 2758 nucleotides. RefSeq lists it as uncharacterized. The record is from RefSeq and is a predicted model, not a curated record. Lineage: Eukaryota; Metazoa; Chordata; Aves; Struthioniformes; Struthionidae.